GAUGAACGCUGGCGGCGUGCCUAACACAUGCAAGUCGAGCGAUCUUCUUCGGAAGAGAGCGGCGGACGGGUGAGUAACGCGUGGGUAACCUGCCUCAUACACAUGGAUAACAUACCGAAAGGUAUGCUAAUACAAGAUGAUAUAAGAGAUUCGCAUGGAUUUCUUAUCAAAGCUUUUGCGGUAUGAGAUGGACCCGCGUCUGAUUAGCUAGUUGGUAAGGUAAUGGCUUACCAAGGCUUCGAUCAGUAGCCGACCUGAGAGGGUGAUCGGCCACAUUGGAACUGAGACACGGUCCAAACUCCUACGGGAGGCAGCAGUGGGGAAUAUUGCACAAUGGGCGAAAGCCUGAUGCAGCAACGCCGCGUGAGCGAUGAAGGCCUUCGGUCGUAAGCUCUGUCUCAAGGAAGAUAAUAGACGGUACUUGAGGAGGAAGCCCGGCGUAACUACGUGCCAGCAGCCGCGGUAACAUACUCG
RNAcentral lists this ribosomal RNA (474 nucleotides) under uncultured bacterium. RNAcentral describes it as "bacterial SSU rRNA". It matches the Rfam family "Bacterial small subunit ribosomal RNA", at positions 28 to 531 of the family's 1533-position model. The record is from RNAcentral.